This 252-nucleotide ribosomal RNA is filed under the name uncultured bacterium. RNAcentral describes it as "partial 16S ribosomal RNA". It matches the Rfam family "Bacterial small subunit ribosomal RNA", at positions 524 to 776 of the family's 1533-position model. The record is from RNAcentral.
UACGUAGGUCCCGAGCGUUGUCCGGAUUUAUUGGGCGUAAAGCGAGCGCAGGUGGUUUAUUAAGUCUGGUGUAAAAGGCAGUGGCUCAACCAUUGUAUGCAUUGGAAACUGGUAGACUUGAGUGCAGGAGAGGAGAGUGGAAUUCCAUGUGUAGCGGUGAAAUGCGUAGAUAUAUGGAAGAACGCCAGUGGCGAAGGCGAUUCUCUGGACUGUAACUGACGCUGAGGCUCGAAAGCGUGGGGAGCAAACAGG